Molecule: ribosomal RNA, 350 nt
Filed under: Phelsuma mutabilis
Lineage: Eukaryota; Metazoa; Chordata; Lepidosauria; Squamata; Gekkonidae
Description: partial 16S ribosomal RNA
Rfam family: Archaeal large subunit ribosomal RNA
Source: RNAcentral
UUGUAUGAAAGGUUAAAUGAGGGCCUAACUGUCUCCUGUGGCCAAUCAAUGAAAAGGAUCUUACAGUACAAACGCUGUAAUAUACCUAUAAGACGAGAAGACCCUGUGGAGCUUUAAACCCCUACACUAACUAAUUAUUCCACCAACAUUAUUAGCAUAGUGUAAAUUUUAAGUUGGGGCGACUGUGGAGUAAAAAAAACCCUCCAUGAGACACGGCUGAUACCCGUCCCACCAGGCCAACAAGCCUAAUCAAGCUACAUGACCCAGUUCAAACUGAAUAUCGAACCAAGUUACCCCAGGGAUAACAGCGCCAUCCCCUUAAAGAGUCCACAUCGCCAAGGGGGUUUACG